This 2309-nucleotide small RNA is filed under the name Pan troglodytes (chimpanzee). Its description in RNAcentral is "retained intron". The record is from RNAcentral. Lineage: Eukaryota; Metazoa; Chordata; Mammalia; Primates; Hominidae.
ACUACCUGGUGAGUGCCGGCGCGCGGGAGGGCGGGUGGGUCCGGCCGAGCGGGAGCCGGGGUGACCAUCCGUGCCCCUCGCAGCCCGACGCCGAGGGUGCCUUCCGCCGCGGCCCGGGCCUGAACUUGACCAGCGGCCAGUACAGGGCGCCCGUGGCUGGCUUCUACGCUCUCGCCGCCACGCUGCACGUGGCGCUCGGGGAGCCGCCGAGGAGGGGGCUGCCGCGCCCCCGGGACCACCUGCGCCUGCUCAUCUGCAUCCAGUCCCGGUGCCAGCGCAACGCCUCCCUGGAGGCCAUCAUGGGCCUGGAGAGCAGCAGUGAGCUCUUCACCAUCUCUGUGAAUGGCGUCCUGUACCUGCAGAUGGGGCAGUGGACCUCCGUGUUCUUGGACAACGCCAGCGGCUGCUCCCUCACAGUGCGCAGUGGCUCCCACUUCAGUGCUGUCCUCCUGGGCGUGUGAGCGGCCACCACAGGCCCUUCCUCUCAGGGGCAAAUGGAGCACAGAUCUAGACAAUGUGUGGACAGUGUCAGAGUAGCAGUGGCCACAUGGAGGAGGAGGCCCACCCGGAACUCUGCCCACACUGGCCACUGCAGUUCAGCCCACAGAGCCACUGCAGGCAGGCCUACGGACGUGACACGCACGCUGGUGGUCCCGGAGCCAGGGUUGAUUCAGGACACCAUCUUGGGCUCUUAUCCAGGAAAGAAAGAGUCGGCGUGCCUGGGGGCACCUGCUAGUCCCCAGCUGCAGGCCGACUCUUUCCUGGCCUGCUCAGCACCUGCCCAGAUGGCCUCUGCAUCUUUCCUGUGCCCAGCCCCACCUUUUCCACCUCUCUUCAUGUUCUCAUGGAGUGCAGAGCGCACCAGCCAGGGCCCCUACCUGGGAGAGGGUCAGCUGACGCAGGGCUGAGGGGGCUGCCACAGGGAAGUACGCUGUGUGUUCUUACUGCUUAGAAGGGACGGGGUCACUCACCACUCCCCUGGUCUCCAUCUGGGCUCCUUGGUCUUCCCUGCCCCUCCCCUAACCGUGUUCUACCUGCCAGUGGAGCUGAGCACUGCCUAGCCUGGGCCAGAGGGACACUGGACAAGGGCCUUUGGGGGACAGUAAGUCUGGGCCCAGCUUCUAGUUCUAAUGUAUGCAAGAUUAACUCACAAAUUCACCUCAGAAGGCCUUUCCAAAUGGGAGCUCCACUCUUCCUUCCUCUGCAAAUCUUUUCACGGCCAAGGCCCCUUCCACCCUCUCCAGAGGUGGAUGAGAUCCCUUUUCCCCCUCUCCUCUGAGGUGCUGACUCACUGGUAGGAGCCACCCACCAGAGGAAAGAUCUAGAACGUCUUUACAGAUUGGAGACAGCCGGGCCUGCUGAUCCAUCAUCCGAAUAGCUGAAGCAGAGUCUUCCACCAGGGGUGCCAGGGCCUGGCUGGGUCCAGCGGCUCUGGGAUGAGCCUCCCAAGCAUCUUUCCCACUUGGGUGGCCAUGCGGCGCUGACAUUGGACAGGUGGUGGACGAGAGAUGGUCCCAAGAAAGGGUGGUCUUGGGAGGGCUGGUCCCAAGCCUGCUGUGCUCCUGCGGCAGUGAUGGGGCCUGGGGAUGGGGACGGCAGCUCUCAUGAGGACACACAGGCUGUGAGCCCGCAGCCUCCUCAAAUGUAGCCUCCCACAUUUUCCCCAAAGUACAGGACUGUCCCAGAGUAGGUAGUGAAGAGGACAAGGCCCUCGGCAGCGACCUCCAGGGCCUCCUACCUGCUGAGGAAGAGUUAACCCACUGCCUCCCCACACAACAGGGCUACGAAGAACCUGGUGCCUCAGGACCUCCUGGGAGCCAAGCUGGUCUGGCAAGGGCGCUCAGGCCUGGGAGAGAAGGGAGCAGUGGCCAGUCACCUUCACCUUCUAACUAACUAGCCUCCGGAUGAGGUGGCUGCCACCAGGCCCGAAUGAUCCCCAGGAGCCCAGCUUCCAAACCCCAACACCGAAUCAAACAUCUCCAUCCCCAAGUGCAGUAACACACAAAAACCAAACACUCUGCCCUGGGAAAGGCCUGGUGCGAUUCUCAGUAGGACUCACACCCACCCUACCUAGAAGUACUGGGCUGGCCUGGGUACUGCAUCCGUGUGUUUUGAUAAGGGGGUGAUGUGGCCACGCCCUUAUCUAGAUUUCACUUUGUAUCCACUGGGCACAGAUAUUCUAGAGAACUUAUCUUUCACUCUUGUAAAAGCCACAUAUCCACAUCUCUUUCAUUUUCUCAGUGUGUUAUGCAGCAAUUUAUUAAAGUAUUUAUUGUCUAAUAAAUACUGCCAGGUGGAAUAUAUUUAUA